UGAUUGUUGGAGUACGAUUUCCUAGUCAAGCGUAGUAAGAUGUUGUUAUGUUUUCGACAAGAAUGACCUGGACAUUAUCGUGAGUGUGAUGAGAAAUAUAAAACUGAGACCCAACCAGAAGAAUUGUCAAAGAAAGACCCAUGGCAGCCAUGAAGAAAACCAGGACAAAGAAAUGCCUCCAGAAAACUGGCCUCUCAUAGCCGCCAUUUGGAUCAUCCUCUCAUGGUUUUGGAGUUAGGAAUAACAGACUCCGAGACCACAGAAGACGAAGGUGGAGACCACAUUGAGACCAAAGAAGGAAGCAGAGGUAUUCAGAACCAGGCUAUGCAUGCAGGGGACAGAAUGAUGGACAGCUGGG
This is a long non-coding RNA of Oncorhynchus tshawytscha (Chinook salmon), 358 nucleotides long. The record is from Ensembl. NCBI's taxonomy places the organism in Eukaryota, Metazoa, Chordata, Actinopteri, Salmoniformes, Salmonidae.